ACACCAGUAAUCCCAGCUGAGGCAUGAGAAUUGCUUGAACCCAGGAGGCGGAGUUUGCAGUGAGCUGAGAUCAUACAACUGCACUUCAACUUGGGCGACAGAGCAAGACUCUGUGUCAAAAAAAAAAAAACCCUUAAAAAACAAAGCAAAAAAAGCCCAAACCAAAGCAAACCAAAAACAAAACAAAACAAAAACCCAACUAUGAUGAUAAACAAGUAAAACAGCAACCACACAAAACCUUUGUGGAGAAGAGAGAAAAGGGGAUAAAGGAAGACCACAUAGAGAAUUUCAAAGAAGAGAAGAAUUUCCCAAGGGGAGAAAAGACAAGAAACCAGACUUCCCUUUCAAAGAGUUAGCUUCACACAGACUAGAGUCAUGGAGAAAUGGGAUUGAAAAUGAAACGCAUCUUUGACAAAAGGGAAGGGAAAGAGCAAGGGAGCAAGGCUGCUCUUUCUGGGAAGACGAGGAAUAGGAAAACAUUGCCUAAGUGUUUUACUGAACAGAACUUCUGCCCCUGCAUAACUAAAAUGUGACAACACCCUUUCAGAUGGUCUCUGCUUCACUACAAACCACCUGGAUACUCUACUCACUAUCCUAAAUGCAUUUAACAUCACAACACAUUAGCAAGUAAUGAUGUUUUAAUGAGAUUUUAUAUAGGAAGAGAAUAGGAAUAUUUCACUAUGUACCCAAGUGAAAACAUAAUAUGCUUCCUCCAGAUUAUGGUGGUUUUUUGUUUCAAGUUCACUAGCCAUCUCAUUUCUCCUUCUUCCUCCCUCAUGUGUAAUCUAAAAUUGUUUUUCUGGUUCUGAAUAAUUCUGCUCUGAUCUCACCUUAUAUUCUCCAAUGAAGUGAUAGACAGGCUCAUCAAUUGUCACUUCAUCUGGGAGCAUCAACGGUCACUUAAGAGUGGCUAUUGGAUCUCUGAUAUCCUACUCUAGAUGGCUUAUCAAAAUUUCUGUUUAACAGAAAUAGCUUCUUCCUGUGUGGGGACUUAAAUUGGCUUAGAGAAAGUGAUUGCUAAGGAAAAAGUUUCAUGUACUUUUCUAUGUAUGUUUGCAUAUGUGUGUGUAUGUGUGUAUAUACACACAAGUGAUAAAGGUUUAACAAUAGAUAUAUGCGUGUGUGUGUAUGUAUAUGUAGAUAUGAAUAUACACAUACAUAUAUGUGUACAUAUAGCCACACACACAUACACAUAUAUGUAUAUAGUUCUACACACAUAUACACGUAUAUGUAUAUAGUUCUACACACAUAUAUAUCUUUAUUGUUAAACCUUCAUCACUUUCUUUCCCAGUCUGAUAAGCAGGACUGGACAAACUUAAAGAAAAUCCUUAGGGCCUCUUUAUCUUAUUUCCAUUACCAUAGUAUGAAUAUAUAACAACUGUAUUAGUUCGUUCUGACAUUGCUAUAAAGAACUACCUGAGACUGGGUAAUUCGUGAUGAAAAGAGGUUUACUUCACUCAUAGCUUUACAAGGCUGAAGAAGCCUUAGGAAACUUGUGAUCAUGGUGGAUGGCAAAGAGGAAGCAGGUACAUAUUCACAUGAUGAUGGGGGAGAGAGAGAGCAAAGGGGGAAGUGCUACACGCUUUCAAACCACAAGAACUGGUGAUAACUCACAUCACCAUAACAACAGGGGUCAUUCGCUCCCACAACUAGUCACCUCCCACCAGGUAUCUCCCCCAACAUUGGGGAUUACAAUCUAACAUGAGAUUUGAGUGGGGACACAGGGCCAAAGCAUAUCAGCAACUGACCUUCUUUCUCCUUCUUCAAAUUGUACCCACGCAUUUGCUAAAUGAAAGGAACUGACUAAAUUCAAAGUCCCAAAAUGUCCCUCAUACCAUGUCCUUUGGCUCUCCAUGAUUUUUACUUCCUUUACCCUUCACUCAUGGUGUCAUCUUGAGUUCAAAAAUGACACAUUUUAAAAUGAUGAGGAGCAGAAGGAAAGAGAUCUGUGUUCCUCCAUCAGUGGAGCAGAACGGCAUUAUAUGUCCUCCUUAUCUUUUUUGUCAGUGUUUAAAUAUGGUAGAUUUUUGUGGGCACAGAGGCUCACAUCUAUAAUCUCAGCACUUUGGGAGGCCAAGCUGAGUGGGUCACUUGAGGACGGGAGUUUGAGACCAGCCUGGCAAACAUGGUGAAAUCCCAUCUCUUCUAAAAAUACAAAAAUUAGCUGGGCGUGCUGAUGCAUGCCUGUAAUCCCAGCUACUUAGGAGGCUGAGUCAUGAGAAUCACUUGAGCCUGCAAGGUGGAGUUUGCAGUGAGCUGAGAUCACACUACUGCACUUCCGCCUGGGUAACAGAGUGAGACUUUCUAAAUAAAUAAGUAAAUUCAGUAGAUUGAAGUUCAGAAGUAUCAGUUUUUCCUGAUGGUGAUAGUUCUCUUUAAGGCACAGAAUACACAGAUUUUGCUUUUGUUUUAAUUAUUUUUUAAUUUUUAGUCAUUUGGAAAUAUAUUGAUGCUACACAGUAACAUUACAGAAAAAAAAAAUAGUCACCAAAAGACUCCAGAAUGUCUUAAAUGUGUUUACCAUAUCUUUAAUUUUAAUUUUCUAUGAUAUUUCCACUUCUGGAACUUAUUCUUUUUUUAGGGUAUUCAAAAUGUAAAUGCAGGGGCACAUUGUAUUAAGGCAAGUUUUUACCUGAUGUCUGUUUUUCUUGGGUAACACUUAAACCACCAAUCAAAUAAACGAAAAUGCUAUUUAAUACCUAGUUGACUACAUCCAGUUCUGUCCCUAAGGAAAUGGGAUAAUUUCUUGGUCUAUUAAAUUUUUUAGAGUUCAAAAUUGUCUUUUUUAAAAGAUGUUUUAGUGUUACAUUAGGUUAUCGUAGGUUACAAUGCAGCAAGAUAUAAGGACAGUUACUCAGUUGAAACAUUUAUUUUUGUCAGUUGCUCUUGUGAGCUGGUGUUUGAUUUCAAGAAAACAAGGAGUGCAUAUCAAUGACGGCCAUUCUCCAGGUGCUGCUUCACGGUGAAAGUGACACCAAACUGAAGGGUAAUUUGAAAGGGUUGGGAAGUCUCCAGCUAGUUAUUUUUUCAGGCCAGUUUACUGUGACUCAUCACAUUUCUCUUAAAUAAGCCACACUUACCAGCGAAGUACAACUUCCGUUGUAUCCACAUCACAUUCCACUUCUACUGAGGAUAUCUUUCGAUAUUUUCUCAUCACACUGUUCAGCAAAUCACUACAAUGUGACACAAAAAUUAAUAUACCCUUUGCAUUUUCCAUUCAUGUUUCUUUUUGUUGACAUUGUUCUUUUUAAAGUGACAUCUUUUCUAAAAAUACGAAAGCAUUUUAAAUGAAGAAUAAAAAUAUUUUUAUUAAUUUUUAAGAAAGUUCCCUCAGCUUGAGUUUCACUAUCAAAAAGUAAAACCCUCAGCAGUUUCUUGUAUAUCCUUCCAGAAAACUUGCAUAAACACAUCUAUAUUACACAUAUUGAUUGUACCUUGUUUUCUGUUUUACUUCAUUUUCAUUACAGCCCUACUUUCUUUUGUUUUUACUUCUAUAUCUCUAUUAAUCUAUGCCUUCAAAGAGCUACAUUAAAAAAAAAGAUUCCCUAUGAAUAAUAUUUCUAGUUUCUGUAGGCUUCCCAAAUAAUGCACGUUGAAUAAAUCAUUUGUUACUUAGAUAUUAAAUAUCGUGGUCAAUUGUUUCAGUAAGAAGACAGUUGAGGUAUUUUAUUUUAUGUAUUGAUUUCAUGAGAAAAUAUACAUAAUGUUAAAAUAUGCUUAACGUUAUUUUAAACAUUUACUAGUUUUUAAGUAUUUUUAUGUUGCAAAACUGCUUUUCUUCUUUUUUGGCUGAUUUACAAAUAAUUAUUUUUAUUUAAAUCUAAAUGAAUAUUUUUGUGACAAUAAAUGUUAAGUCUUUUCCCAAAAGAAUGCUUUACCUUUUCUUUUGUCUAAAUGUUAUGACCUUCAAAGAUUCAUUGUGUUUUAAAAAUAUCUUUUCAUUUUGUUGCUAAUGUGAUUAAAACACUUAUUUCUAUGUUAUAGUAUAUGUGUGUGUGUGUGUGUGUAUAUAUAUGUACAUAUAUAUAUAUUUAUUUGGCUUCACAAAUUUCUCAUUCUCUUCAUCUUUAUUCUUACCUAUAUUCUACUUUUCCAUCCAGAUAAUUUUCCUUUUGCAAUAACAGCUCCUUGUAAUAUUGUUCUCAGUACAGGUCUGAUGAUAAUGACAUGAGAUUUGGGUGGGGACACAGAGCCAAACCAUAUUAUUCUGCUCCUGGCCCCUCCCACAUCUCAUGUCCUCACAUUUCAAAUACCGUCAUGCUCCUCCAAUAUUUCAUUAAAGUCUUAACUCAUUCCAGCAUUAACUCAAAAGUCCACAGUCCAAAGUCUCAUCUGAGACAAGGCAAAUCCUUUCCAUCCAUGAGCCUAUAAAAUCAGAAGCAAGUUAGUCUCAGCUUUUUGUUUGCCUGAAAAUUUCUUUAUUUUGGAGAAAAUUUCUCUCCACUAUGUUUAGAGAAUGUAGAUAUUUUAUGUCAAUCUGCAGUUAACUAACACUGUGUUCUACAGUAACCCAUCUAUAAAUUCUAAAUUCGAGACACUGUAUUUUUGGAAGGAAGUAUCUGAUGAUGAUUCUCCCCUUUUACCUAUUUCAUUACACGAUUUGCUCAUAGUUAUUUCACAGCUUUUGUCUGCUGAUGUCAAUGUCUAAAUCAUCUAUGAUUUUGGUUCUUUUCCUUUUUUGUUUUUUUGUCAUAUGGCACUCUUUCUUAACAUGCCCAGUAAUUUUUGAACACAUGUGAGAAGUAGUGUCUAAAAAUUAUAGAAGCUCAAAAAGAUAUUUUCUGCUAGACAGGGCUCCUUCUCCUUUCUUCUCCUGGACAGAGUGGAGUCUGAGUAUCUCAAAUCUAAGGAUAUCUGAAUUGGACUGAGUUACUGUUUAGACAAAGAUCAGUCAAUCUCUGAUUGGCCUCCAUUUCUGAAAUAUGGUCUGCUUCUUCAGUUUUUUAGUGAAGAAGCUGAAGUAUUCUACAGGGUGUGUUCUCUUUGGAGGUCUUGAAUUUAAUCUACUUUCUCAGCAGAAAAUUGUUCUGAUUUUCAGAUAACCCAAAAUACUGUACCCCCAAAGAUGUCCAUAUCCUAAUUACCAGAACCCAUUAACAUGUUAUGUUAUGUGGCAAGAAGGAAUUAUGUUUGUUAAUCAACUGAAUUUAAGAUAAGGAGAUUAUCCUGGAUUAUUCAAGUGGGCCCAAUAAUGUAAUCACAAGGAUUCUCAAUUAGAAAAGACGGAGGCAGCAGAGUCAGGACCUGAGUGAUACCAUGGUAAGACUCAAUCAGCCAUUGCUGGGUUUUGAGAUGGAAGGGAUUUAUGAGCCAAGGAAUGUAGACAGCCUCUAGAAACUGGAUGGGAAUAAAAUAUAUCCUUCUCUGAACCUGUAAGGAAAGUAUACAGCCCUGAUACUGUGAAUUUAGGUCAGUGAGACCCCUUUAUACACUUCUGAACUCCAAAACUGUAAGAUAAUAAAUGUGUGUUGUUUUAACCCACUAAAUUUGUGGUGGUUUUAUAGCAGCAAUAGUAAAUGAACACAGAGGUUUGUGGUUUAUUUCUUUAGUCUCCCACACAUACAUCUUCAGCAUUUAGAAAUUAUUUUGAUAAGGCAACAGUCCUGGGUAUGAGGCACCUGCAGCCUCAUACUCUUGCUUUGCAAGACUAUUUUUUGCUGUUUUUUUCCUCCUUAUGGAGAAGCUUCUACUUAUUAGAAGGUCACAUUCUUGGCUCUUGCCAGUGUUCAGAAUAAGAAGAUGCCCUGAGAGGAAGCAGAUAGCAAAGCUAUCUCAUGUGGAAUCAGCACCUUUAGUCCUCCUUGCUUCAUUAGCUGUCCAGCAACUUUACAUAUGUGAUGUUUGUAUUGUAUUGACUUCUAAAUUGUUUUCAGUUGAGUAUUUGUUGUAAUCUACUCCAUUGUAUGAGUUCAUUUUCAUACUGCUAUGAAGAAGUACUCAAGACUGGGUAAUUUAUAAAGGAAAGAGCCUUAAUUGACUCACAGUCAAGCCUCCCUUCAUUGCUGGGGAUGCUUCAGGAAACUUACAAUCAUGGUGGAGAAGCAGGUACCUUCUUCACAUGGUGGUACAAUGGAGUGAGUGCAAGCAAGGGAAAAGUGCAAUGCUUAUAAAGCCAUCAAAUCUUGUGAGACUCACUAAUUAUCACAAGAAAGCAUGGGGGAAACUGACCUUAUGACCCAAUUACCUCCACCGGGCACUGCACUUGACCUGUGGGCAUUCUGGGAAUUAAAAGUCAAGGUGAGAUUUGGAUGGGGACACAGAGCCAAACCAUAUUAUUCUGCUCCUGGCCCCUCCCACAUCUCAUGUCCUCACAUUUCAAAAUACCAUCAUGCUCCUCCAAUAUUUCAUUAAAGUCUUAACUCAUUCCAGCAUUAACUCAAAAGUCCACAGUCCAAAGUCUCAUCUGAGACAAGGCAAAUCCUUUCCAUCCAUGAGCCUAUAAAAUCAGAAGUAAGUUAGUUACCUCCUAGAUAUAAUGGGGGUACAGGCAUUGGAUAAAAACCCCCAUUACCAAUGGGAUAAAUACCCCCAUUACCAAUUGGCCAAAACAAAUGGGAUAUAAGCCAUAUGCAAGUCUAAAAUCUAAUAGGGCAGUCAUUAAACAUUAAAGUUCCAAAAUGAUCUCCUUUGACUCUCUGGGCAUGCUGAUGCAAGAGGUGGGCUCCCAUGGCCUUGGGAAGCUCUAUCUCUGUGGAUUUGCAGAGUACAGCCCCUCUCCAUUGCUUUCACAGGCUGGUAUUGAGUGUCUGUGGUUUUUCCAGGCACAUGGUGCAAGCUUUUGGUGGAUCAGCCAUUCUGAGGUCUGGAGAAUCAUUGUCCUCUUUUGAUAGCUCCAGUAAGCCUUGUCCUACUGGGGACUCUGUGUGGGAUCUCCAACCUCACAUUUCCCUUCUUCACUGUCCUGGUAGGGGAUCUCCAUGAGGGCUCUGCUCCUGCAACAAACUUCUGCCUGAACAUCCAGGCAUUACCAUAUAUUCUCUGAAAUCUAAGGAAAGUUUCACAAAUCUCAAUUCUUGACAUAUGAUAAAUACCCACAGGAGUAUUUAUCAAUGUCAUGUGAAAGCUGCCAAGGCUUGGGACUUGGACUCUCUGAAGCAAUGGCUUGAACUGUACCUUGGUCCCUUUUAGCCAUGGCUGGAGCUGAAGCAGCUGGGAUGCAGGGCACCAUGUCCCAAGGCUACACAGAACAUGGGGGACCUGGACCCAGCUCAUGAAAUCAAUAUUCCCCCCUAAUCCUCUGGGCCUGUGAUGGGAGGGGGUGCCACAAGGUCUCUGCAUGCCCUGAAGACAUUUUCCCCCUUGUCCUGGUGAUUAGCAUUCAGCUUCUCUUUACUUAUGCAAAUUUAUGUAGCCAGCUUGAAUUUCUCCCCAGAAAAUGGGAUUUUCUUUUCUACUGCAUUGUCCGGCUGCAAAUUUUCCAAACUUUUAUGCUUUGUCAUGUCUUGAACACUUUGCUGCUUAGAAAUUUCUUCCAUCAGAUAUCCUAAAUCAUCCUUCUCAAGUUUAAAGUUUCACAGAUCUCUAGGGCAGGGGCAAAAUGCCACCAGUCUGUUUGCUAAAGCAUAGCAAGAGUCACAUUUGCACCAGUCUCAAGAAGUUCCUCAUCACUAUCUGAGGCCACUUCAGCCUGGACUUCAUUGUCUAUAUUACUAUCAGAUUUUGAUGAAAACCCUUCCAUAAAUCUCUGGGAAGUUCCAAACUUCCCCACAUUUUCCUGUCUUCUUCUUAGCCCUCUAAGCUGUUCCAACCUCUGCCUGUUACCCAGAUCCAAAGUUGCUUCUACAUUUUCCGGUAUCUUCACGGCAGUUCCCCACUACCUUGAUACCAAUGUACUGUAUUAGUCUGCUCUCACACUGCUGUGAAGAAAUACCUGAGACUGGGUAAUUUAUAAAGGAAAGAGGUUUAAUUGACUCAGAGUUCCAUAUUGCUGGGGAGACCUCAGGAAACUUACAAUCAUAGCAGAAGGCAAUGGAGAAGCAUGGACCUUCCUCACAGGGUGGUUGGACAGAGUGAGUACAAGUGGGAAAAUGCCAGAGGCUUAUGAAAUCAUCAGAUCUCAUGAGAUUCACUCAUCACCAUGAGAACAUAUGGUAGAAACCACCCCUAUGAUCCAAUUACCUCAAGUGGUCUCACCGCUGACAUGUGGGGAUAAUGGGAAUUACAAUUUAAGGUGAGAUUUGGGUGGAGACACAGCCAACUCAUAUCAUCCAUUUACUAUCUGGAGGCAGAAUUUCCUUCUGAGCCUUUUUGUCUCAAAUGUUUCACCUUAAAUGGUUUUCUCCUGUUAUAUCUUAGAAUAUACUUCCGUUUAUUCUUGUUGUUUCAUGAAGAACAUUAUGUUCUUCAUCAUUGGCAUAUUUUGUAACAUUUAUCAUUCUAGAAGAAUUUCUAAGUUGUUCUCCUACAACACUGUUAUUUCCUUCAAUAACAUAUUUUCAUUUUAUUAUUUAAAGUGUAACAUUUAAAUCUUCUCUUGCACUAUUGUUUCUUCAAUAAAAGUGCAAAAUUUGGAAUAAGGAGUGUGAUAGCAAGGCUGGAAAUCAGAGGAUGUUUACAUUAUAAACAUGUUUUAUAUCAUUGUUAAGUAGAGGCUUGGCAUUGGAAUGGUUGUAAUAUUUAUGUAUCUUUUUCUUAUUUGGCUUCACCAUUCUACUUUCAAGGCCCCAUGUCUGCUUUCCUUGAAAAAGUCAUAGCAAUCUUUAGAAUCAAUUUCCUUAAACAGUGAUUAUUAUGUAACCACAAACCCAGAUUUUAAAAUAAUAUUAAUUUACCUACCCAGUGAUUCUUAUAAAGCUAUAAACAAGCAACAAUUCUCAAUUCAAUUGUUAGGCAGACUUAUUUGAAUGUUUUACCCCACACCACUGCAUUCUAUAAUCUUCUCUUCCCCAAAUGUAUUUAGAAUUUUAGGUAGGAAAGGAAAGGUUACAAGAAUUAUUUCAGUAAGCAUUGAACAUGCUGACAAAGUUCUGGAAGUGUUAGUAUCUUUUCUUUUUCCAGAUGGAGUCUCAUUCUGUUGCCCAGGCUGGAGUACAGUGGUGUGAUCACUGCUCACAAUUCUCCUGCUUCAGCCUCCAGAGUAGAUGGGAUUACCAGCAUGUGCCACCACACCUGGAUAAUUUUUUUGUAUUUUUAGUAGAGCCAGGGUUUCAGCACGUUGGCCAGGCUGGUCUUGAACUCCUGACCUUAGGUUAUCCACCUGCCUCAGCCUCCCAAAGUGCUGGGAUUACAGGCUUGAUCCACCAUGCCCAGCCAUACCCCAUUUUUUGAACAUUUUAUGAUGCAAGAUAGAACAGCUUUUGGCCUUUAAUGCACAUUAAAUAAGACGUACCCUAAAACUGCUUUGAGAGGCACCACUCACAUUAAUCAAAAAUGGUUAAAGUUAUUGUAGGGUGAAAUACUACUGAAUAGGAAAAUAACUAAAUUUCCAUUGUAAGUCUUCUAAUUUGGUGACAGCAUCUUUUAAACCCACAGCCACAAGUGCCCUUUUCUGCAGUUCAUAAUCUUUUUUGAUAUGUUUCUGGUGCUUGGUUGUAGAGUGAUUUACUGAGUUUAAUGACUUCUCACAACAGAGGAUUAGUGUUACCACCUAUCUGUAGCAGACUUAAAUGUUCUGUACAAGGUGUUAUUACUUUGGAGAGAUGGUUAUCCAUUCUUUCAUUCCAGGUGAAUACAGUACAAGUGAUUUAAUUAUUGUGACCACAACUUUACAGCUUUGCAUUGCCUAUAGUGCCUUUUUCUUUCUUUUAAAGUUAUAAAAUUCUGUUGUGUAAUUCAGUCAGCUGACUUAGUUUCUAAAUGUGUAUCAGCCUUCUGGCACUAAAAUAUUAAAAUAAUAUCAUCAUUUGACUACAUGAUAGAUUUCACACUGGUGAAGAUAGAGACUCACAAAGUUAGAGAUCCAGCUGAGACAGUUUGCCGCUCACUGCUUUGAUGGAAAACAGUGUCAGGUCACCUCUGUGAACUUCUCUGCACUGCAGAGAUCUAACAGGUAUUUUCCCCCCACCAAAAAAAGAGACACUUUUAUUCCUGGAGUCUUCUACCAAAUUCCAACUUGACCUCCUAAAGCUUCUGAUGUUUUCAGCCACUUCAGGGGUAGCUAAUAAGAUAAAGUCAUCAAUUAUAGUCAUUUUUUGCUGAAUUUUAUAGUACUAAAUCUCUUGGGUAACAAUCUUUUUUAAAAGUUAUGGAUAUUUGAUAUUAAGUUUUUUUUAAUAAAACAAAGUAUCAUAAUAAAAUAGGAAUUUAUGAAAUCUUACCUUAAGUAAAAACGUGAUUAUUCCUUGAAGCUAUAUCAAAAACAUCUCUUAUUUUACUUUCAAUGUUUUAUGGUAAUUUUCCAAAACCUGUUUUUUUUUCCUCACUCUGCUCUACAGAAUAACUUUAAACUCAGCUAUGUUAAGAUUUUAUGCCACAUUUUAUUCUUCCAAGUUAUUUUGAUUAAUUCUGUUAUCUCUGAAUUUUUACUUCAGUAUGCUAGACCCAUUUAAAUUCUAAAAUAAAAUUAAAUACCCUAGAGAAAUAAAAUUGCUUCACUAGAAGAAAAAUAAUAAUGGGCAGACUUUAGCCUAAGUAUCCCGUUAUAAUUUCCAUCCCAAAAUACAGCAGGGAAGCUUCAUUCACAAUGAAAAAAAUGACGAGUAGUAGCAUCUUAGGAUACUGAAGAGGAGAAAAUGUUUUUCCAAUACAUUAUUAUUUCUCUUCUCAUGUGAAUAUAAACUUAUUGGGCCUCAUUGAAAGUCUUUCCAACAUAGUUACAUUACAGGCUUAAGAUAUUAUCCCUCCUUUUUGGGUUCUUAUUAUACUUGCACUUAGUAUAACCAAUGACAGUCUUUAUUCUAAUUUUUGAAGAAUCCUUUCUUACAUGGGGAGAGAAAGGGAGAGGUUUUUACAAAGGUAUGCACAUUUCUCUCCUAGGACUAAUCCCAAGGGUUGCCUACUCCCAGAGUUCCAAAACAAAAGAAAGUAAAAAAAAAACGAAACUGAAUUUGGUGUGCAUGUGAUCCCGUCAUCUGUCUGUAAACAGAAUGUAAAUCAAUCUUUAUAGAAACAUAAGAAAUGAUUAUUCUUUUACAUUUUCCAGUGUCAUGGUGUUGCAGCUUUUUCGCUCCUGGGUAAAAUGAGUGGGAGGGAGGUUACUGCUCUUUCCCUCCUACUGCAGGAGAGCUUCCAAUUCUUGUCCCAAGACCAAGAAGAAUAAGAUACGUGGACACCAGAGAGUAAGGAAUUUUUAAGCAACAGAAAAGCUCUCAGCAAAGAGAGGGGACCCGAUGAAGGGUUGCUAGCUGUGGGGCUAAGUUUGGGAAUUUUGUGGAUUGUGAAGGGGCAGGAGUGCUGUUGGCUGUCUUGAAGAAAGCACCACUCAGAAAGAGGCACCAUAGUGUAAAGCACCAUGUGGGGCUGAAGUGAAGGCAUUGACCUGGGUUCACUCAGAGGCUGAAGUGAAGGCUCUGAGAAAACACUUGCUCUGAAUCAGUAGAGGAAAAGGAUAUAUAAAGAAAUGUGAAUGAGAAAACACAUUAAUAUCUUUCAAAAAAAUAAGUCCCUAUUAUGCAAACACUGAGCUUAAUAAACAAAAACAAACAAACAAACAAAAAAACCUCACUCCUUGGAGUUAAAAUGUACUCUGCUCUAGUGUAAAUGAAGCCUAACAGAAGUGAGAAAGAACCUCAUGUAUUCUGGAAGCAACGGUAUGCAAAAACAUCAUUGAGGUCCAUUGCUACAUGAUUUUGACUUAGGACUUGUGAUUUAUUAGAUGAUUUAACAGGUCUGAGUCUCAGGUUCCUAUGUGUAGAAUGAAUAUAAAUAAUUUCAAAUAACAGUGGCUGUAAAGGCAUAACAAACUUAAUCAUGAAAAAUGAGGAGUGUUAUUAUUGUGAAGUUAAUGAAAAUCCUUAUUUUUAACCUUGGCUAAACUGUCACAGAAAAAAACAGAAAGGAACACAACGAAACACAUUAUACAGAAGGUAGAGUAAAUGAAACAGGGAGAUUCCCAAACUACUAGAAAACAGUCUUUUGCAAUCUCACUCCACAAAACCACAUAAGGACUUUAGUCUCUUCAAGCACCUUUUUUACAAAUUCAUCGAAGCAGAGCACAAUCUGUAUAAUUCUCACAUUGCUCAAAGGUGCCCCUCCAAGGAUGUUGUAAUGAUUAAUCAACAACCAAUUUGAUUAUCCAUUAAAAUGUUCUCAAUAAUGUAUAUUAAUGUAUUGGGCAAUGAAUUCACCAAAUAGUAAACAAUAUGGUGUUUGGCCCGUUCAGUAUAAUCAGGCACUUUAAAAAAUUAUUUAACCAAGUAAAUGUAUCAAUUGCAACUCAAAUAAAAUUAUAGCUUAAUAUUUCUGAAUAUGAAAUUAAAAAUUACCUGAGGGAAGAUUCUAUAAUUAGUAAUUUAAAAUUUAAGUUCAGUAGACUCUUAGUUGGCCUCAAUGUCUAUUUCUUUCAUUUUCCCCUCCUAGUAGAAACUCUGGCUUGUAUCUGAACAUCUAGACAUCCAGGCAAAGACAUUCAGUCACCCUUUGCCUGCAGAUCACUACUUAUGACUAAUUUCUAACCAAUGAAUUUGAAGUUUUAUGUGGGAGAUUUAGGUAUCUUCCACAAAAGGAAUUACACAUAAUCAUGACAUUUUUUUUUUUCUUAACUUAUUCUGCUGCAAGAAAAUCAGAAGCCAUCUUGGGUCAUGAGAACAAGGAUCACAGCUUAGGAAUGGUGUACCCUGGGCUAGAAGGAGAUGGGCUUUUUGAGGGAAUAGAGCUGACAUGUCAGCCCUAUACCCCUAUACUGCAUAUCUUAGAACAUUACUUAUUCAGACAUAAAUAUACUUCUGUUAUUAAGGCACUCUAUCAUUUAAGCUGUUACUUGCAGAAAUUCCUUAUCUUAAAUUAUACUGCAUGUUUCUGAUAUCAGCUUAUAUUUUAUCAUUUAUCUAUCUUAUUUUUAUCUUGAACAUUUCAUUUUAUCAAAAAAUUUGUCUGACAAAAGGCUAAUACCCAGAAUCUACAAAGAACUAAAGAUUUACAAGAAAAAAAACAAACAAACCCAUUUAAAAGUGGGCGAAGGAUAUGAACAGACACUUUUCAAAAGAAGACAUAUAUGAGUCCAACAAACAUAUGAAAAAAUGCUCGUCAUCACUGGUCAUUAGAGAGAUGCAAAUCAAAACCACAUUGAGAUACCAUCUCACGCCAGUUAGAAUGGUAAUCAUUAAAAAAUCUGGAGACAAUAGAUGCUGGAGAGGAUGUGGAGAAAUAAGAACACUUUUACACUGUUGGUGGGAGUGUAAAUUAGUUCAUCCAUUGUGGAAGACAGUGUGGUAAUUCCUCAAGAACCUAGAAAUAGAAAUUCCAUUUGACCCAGCAAUCCCAUUACCGGGUAUAUAUCCAAAGGAUUAUAAAUAUUUCUGUUAUAAAGACACACACAUGCAUAUGUUCAUUGCAGCAUGGUUUACAAUAGCAACGACCUGGAACCAACCCAAAUGCCCAACAAUGACAGACUGGACAAAGAAAAUGUGGCACAUAUACACCAUGGAAUACUAUGCAGCCAUAAAAAACAAUGCGUUCAUGUCCUUUGUGGGGACAUGGAUGAAUCUGGAAACCAUCAUUCUCAGCAAACUCACACGAGAACAGAAAAUCAAACACCACAUGUUCUCACUUAGGUUGUGGUUGAACAAUGAGAACACAUGGACACA
Molecule: long non-coding RNA, 13682 nt
Organism: Callithrix jacchus (white-tufted-ear marmoset)
Lineage: Eukaryota; Metazoa; Chordata; Mammalia; Primates; Cebidae
Source: RefSeq, a predicted model, not a curated record